UUAAGUUGCAGGGUAUAGACCCGAAACCCGGUGAUCUAGCCAUGGGCAGGUUGAAGGUUGGGUAACACUAACUGGAGGACCGAACCGACUAAUGUUGAAAAAUUAGCGGAUGACUUGUGGCUGGGGGUGAAAGGCCAAUCAAACCGGGAGAUAGCUGGUUCUCCCCGAAAGCUAUUUAGGUAGCGCCUCGUGAAUUCAUCUCCGGGGGUAGAGCACUGUUUCGGCAAGGGGGUCAUCCCGACUUACCAACCCGAUGCAAACUGCGAAUACCGGAGAAUGUUAUCACGGGAGACACACGGCGGGUGCUAACGUCCGUCGUGAAGAGGGAAACAACCCAGACCGCCAGCUAAGGUCCCAAAGUCAUGGUUAAGUGGGAAACGAUGUGGGAAGGCCCAGACAGCCAGGAUGUUGGCUUAGAAGCAGUCAUCAUUUAAAGAAAGCGUAAUAGCUCACUGGUCGAGUCGGCCUGCGCGGAAGAUGUAACGGGGCUAAACCAUGCACCGAAGCUGCGGCAGCGACGCUGAUGCGUUGUUGGGUAGGGGAGCGUUCUGUAAGCCUGUGAAGGUGUACUGUGAGGUAUGCUGGAGGUAUCAGAAGUGCGAAUGCUGACAUAAGUAACGAUAAAGCGGGUGAAAAGCCCGCUCGCCGGAAGACCAAGGGUUCCUGUCCAACGUUAAUCGGGGCAGGGUGAGUCGACCCCUAAGGCGAGGCCGAAAGGCGUAGUCGAUGGGAAACAGGUUAAUAUUCCUGUACUUGGUGUUACUGCGAAGGGGGGACGGAGAAGGCUAUGUUGGCCGGGCGACGGUUGUCCCGGUUUAAGCGUGUAGGCUGGUUUUCCAGGCAAAUC
Molecule: ribosomal RNA, 847 nt
Filed under: Escherichia coli
Lineage: Bacteria; Pseudomonadati; Pseudomonadota; Gammaproteobacteria; Enterobacterales; Enterobacteriaceae
Description: bacterial LSU rRNA
Rfam family: Bacterial large subunit ribosomal RNA
Source: RNAcentral